CAAACCCUGGGCUGUGUUUCCAUAUGUUCACAGUCUAUAGGUAUUGAAAUGCUUACCUAUACUUUAGGAGGAAAAAAAAACCCACAACAUUUUGCAAAAAUUGAAUAAAUGAUCAUUCGAAGCAAAAGCAUGCAGUUCAAAAGCUAAACCUCCCAUUGGAGAACAGAAAAUUUAAUGAGCUUUUAAUGGAAUGCAAUGCUCAGAGUAGUAAAUUAUUUGUUAGUUGACGAUGCAAUCAGCAUGCUGAUUAAGGUUGCUUGGUUUUUUACUAAACAUUAACUGAAUGAAAACGGGUAGUCCUUGUUCUGCUUGGGGGGCUUUAAGGAAGCAAAUGGACUUUCAGAACAGAGAUUGUCAAUAAAGGAAUACCCAUCUCAAGCUCUGGAUGUGUCUCUGAAAAAGUGUCCACAAUGCUGACCACACUGGAGGCCAAUGCAGAAACUGGGGGAAGGUUCGCAGCAGCUGGGUGUGGACAUGCUGAUCUCUGAGCUUGAUGCAGCACUGUUAAUCUCUCCUCCAGAGCUGGAUAGAGGCCUGAACUGAAGCACUGAAAGAUGCCUUGCCAAUUCAAGGCAAGGUCUUUAUUGUUGAAACUCUUGCAUAAUGACAUCUUUAUUCAUGUGAAAAUACAGGAUGAAUUUCAACUGUGUGAAAUUGUUUAUGUUCGUCGGAAAUGUUAUUUGUCUUUACAAAGUCUGGUUUCAAUGAACCAGCUAUGUAAUGGAUAUUAAAUAAACAUGGAAUUUUACACGUUCAUAA
Marmota monax (woodchuck) is the source of this 759-nucleotide long non-coding RNA. RefSeq lists it as uncharacterized. The transcript has 2 exons. NCBI's taxonomy places the organism in Eukaryota, Metazoa, Chordata, Mammalia, Rodentia, Sciuridae. The record is from RefSeq and is a predicted model, not a curated record.